CCUACGGGGGACAGCAGUGGGGAAUAUUGCACAAUGGGCGAAAGCCUGAUGCAGCGACGCCGCGUGAGGGAAGAAGGACUUCGGUAUGUAAAGCUCUAUCAGCAGGGAAGAAAAUUCAGGUACCUGAUCAAGAAUGACCGGCCAGAUACGUGCCAGCAGCCGCGGUAAUACGGAGGGCGCGAGCGUUAUCCGGAUUUACUGGGUGUAGAGGGAGCGUGGACGGCAGGACAAGUCUGGAGUGAAAUGCCUGGGCUUAACCUCGGAACUGCCUUUGAAACUGUGCAGCUAGAGUGCAGGAGAGGUAAGUGGAAUUCCUAGUGUAGCGGUGAAAUGCGUAGAUAUUAGGAGGAACACCAGUGGCGAAGGCGGCUUACUGGACGGUAACUGACGCUGAGGAUCGAAAGCGUGGGGAGCAAACAGGAUUAGAUACCCGGGUAGUC
This 440-nucleotide ribosomal RNA is filed under the name uncultured bacterium. RNAcentral's name for it is "partial 16S ribosomal RNA". It matches the Rfam family "Bacterial small subunit ribosomal RNA", at positions 338 to 795 of the family's 1533-position model. The record is from RNAcentral.